Molecule: ribosomal RNA, 253 nt
Filed under: uncultured bacterium
Lineage: Bacteria
Description: partial 16S ribosomal RNA
Rfam family: Bacterial small subunit ribosomal RNA
Source: RNAcentral
UACGUAGGGUGCGAGCGUUAAUCGGAAUUACUGGGCGUAAAGCGUGCGCAGGCGGUUCGUUAAGUUCGUUGUGAAAUCCCCGGGCUCAACCUGGGAACUGCAUUUGUGACUGCACGGCUGGAGUGCGGCAGAGGGGGAUGGAAUUCCGCGUGUAGCAGUGAAAUGCGUAGAUAUGCGGAGGAACACCGAUGGCGAAGGCAAUCCCCUGGGCCUGCACUGACGCUCAUGCACGAAAGCGUGGGGAGCAAACAGG